UACGUAGGGGGCAAGCGUUGUCCGGAAUUAUUGGGCGUAAAGCGCGCGCAGGCGGUUCUUUAAGUCUGGUGUUUAAACCCGAGGCUCAACUUCGGGUCGCACUGGAAACUGGGGGACUUGAGUACAGGAGAGGAGAGUGGAAUUCCACGUGUAGCGGUGAAAUGCGUAGAUAUGUGGAGGAACACCAGUGGCGAAGGCGACUCUCUGGGCUGUAACUGACGCUGAGGCGCGAAAGCGUGGGGAGCAAACAGG
RNAcentral lists this ribosomal RNA (252 nucleotides) under uncultured bacterium. RNAcentral describes it as "partial 16S ribosomal RNA". It matches the Rfam family "Bacterial small subunit ribosomal RNA", at positions 524 to 776 of the family's 1533-position model. The record is from RNAcentral.